RNAcentral lists this microRNA precursor (75 nucleotides) under Schistosoma margrebowiei. Its description in RNAcentral is "mir-3492 microRNA precursor family". It matches the Rfam family "mir-3492 microRNA precursor family". Lineage: Eukaryota; Metazoa; Platyhelminthes; Trematoda; Strigeidida; Schistosomatidae. The record is from Rfam by way of RNAcentral.
AGCCUUCUGGAUUUGUGCCGAGAUUUCGCCAGACAACAGACCAGCAGUACUGAGACUCCCAAGAUAAGUGAAGCG